UACGUAGGGUGCGAGCGUUAAUCGGAAUUACUGGGCGUAAAGCGUGCGCAGGCGGUUCGUCAAGUCUGAUGUGAAAGCCCCGGGCUCAACCUGGGAAUGGCAUGGGAAACUGACGGGCUGGAGUAUGGCAGAGGGGGGUGGAAUUCCGCGUGUAGCAGUGAAAUGCGUAGAGAUGCGGAGGAACACCGAUGGCGAAGGCAGCCCCCUGGGCCAAUACUGACGCUCAGGCACGAAAGCGUGGGGAGCAAACAGG
Molecule: ribosomal RNA, 253 nt
Filed under: uncultured bacterium
Lineage: Bacteria
Description: partial 16S ribosomal RNA
Rfam family: Bacterial small subunit ribosomal RNA
Source: RNAcentral